RNAcentral lists this long non-coding RNA (206 nucleotides) under Elaeis guineensis (African oil palm). RNAcentral's name for it is "long non-coding RNA (EGUI_LNC046725)". Lineage: Eukaryota; Viridiplantae; Streptophyta; Magnoliopsida; Arecales; Arecaceae. The record is from RNAcentral.
GGCAGAUAGCGAGGUAUAGGAAUCAAAUCAUCGAGGUGGGCUUCUAGAUCUCAGAUUUUUUUGAGGUUGAUCGGAGUUAUUUUGUUAAUUUCUAUAAUCUUCUUCUCAGAGCUGCUUUUCCCCAUUUCCUUCUUUACCUGCCGAAAUAUACUUUCUUCUUCUUCUUCAACCUGAGCAUAUUUUUGGAUUCAGAUUAGCAUUUGCUC